AGAGUUUGAUCAUGGCUCAGAUUGAACGCUGGCGGCAGGCCUAACACAUGCAAGUCGAGCGGUAGCACAGAGAGCUUGCUCUCGGGUGACGAGCGGCGGACGGGUGAGUAAUGUCUGGGAAACUGCCUGAUGGAGGGGGAUAACUACUGGAAACGGUAGCUAAUACCGCAUAAUGUCGCAAGACCAAAGUGGGGGACCUUCGGGCCUCAUGCCAUCAGAUGUGCCCAGAUGGGAUUAGCUAGUAGGUGGGGUAACGGCUCACCUAGGCGACGAUCCCUAGCUGGUCUGAGAGGAUGACCAGCCACACUGGAACUGAGACACGGUCCAGACUCCUACGGGAGGCAGCAGUGGGGAAUAUUGCACAAUGGGCGCAAGCCUGAUGCAGCCAUGCCGCGUGUGUGAAGAAGGCCUUCGGGUUGUAAAGCACUUUCAGCGGGGAGGAAGGCGUUAAGGUUAAUAACCUUGGCGAUUGACGUUACCCGCAGAAGAAGCACCGGCUAACUCCGUGCCAGCAGCCGCGGUAAUACGGAGGGUGCAAGCGUUAAUCGGAAUUACUGGGCGUAAAGCGCACGCAGGCGGUCUGUCAAGUCGGAUGUGAAAUCCCCGGGCUCAACCUGGGAACUGCAUUCGAAACUGGCAGGCUAGAGUCUUGUAGAGGGGGGUAGAAUUCCAGGUGUAGCGGUGAAAUGCGUAGAGAUCUGGAGGAAUACCGGUGGCGAAGGCGGCCCCCUGGACAAAGACUGACGCUCAGGUGCGAAAGCGUGGGGAGCAAACAGGAUUAGAUACCCUGGUAGUCCACGCCGUAAACGAUGUCGAUUUGGAGGUUGUGCCCUUGAGGCGUGGCUUCCGGAGCUAACGCGUUAAAUCGACCGCCUGGGGAGUACGGCCGCAAGGUUAAAACUCAAAUGAAUUGACGGGGGCCCGCACAAGCGGUGGAGCAUGUGGUUUAAUUCGAUGCAACGCGAAGAACCUUACCUGGUCUUGACAUCCACAGAACUUAGCAGAGAUGCUUUGGUGCCUUCGGGAACUGUGAGACAGGUGCUGCAUGGCUGUCGUCAGCUCGUGUUGUGAAAUGUUGGGUUAAGUCCCGCAACGAGCGCAACCCUUAUCCUUUGUUGCCAGCGGUUAGGCCGGGAACUCAAAGGAGACUGCCAGUGAUAAACUGGAGGAAGGUGGGGAUGACGUCAAGUCAUCAUGGCCCUUACGACCAGGGCUACACACGUGCUACAAUGGCAUAUACAAAGAGAAGCGACCUCGCGAGAGCAAGCGGACCUCAUAAAGUAUGUCGUAGUCCGGAUUGGAGUCUGCAACUCGACUCCAUGAAGUCGGAAUCGCUAGUAAUCGUAGAUCAGAAUGCUACGGUGAAUACGUUCCCGGGCCUUGUACACACCGCCCGUCACACCAUGGGAGUGGGUUGCAAAAGAAGUAGGUAGCUUAACCUUCGGGAGGGCGCUUACCACUUUGUGAUUCAUGACUGGGGUGAAGUCGUAACAAGGUAACCGUAGGGGAACCUGCGGUUG
RNAcentral lists this ribosomal RNA (1520 nucleotides) under Klebsiella pneumoniae. RNAcentral's name for it is "bacterial SSU rRNA". It matches the Rfam family "Bacterial small subunit ribosomal RNA". RNAcentral also lists the same sequence under 1 other name. The record is from RNAcentral. Lineage: Bacteria; Pseudomonadati; Pseudomonadota; Gammaproteobacteria; Enterobacterales; Enterobacteriaceae.